ACUACAUACCGUCCUGCCCUGAAUAUACUUGGUUUGAGUUCUGAAGCUAAGCAGGGUUGAGCCUGGUUAGGACAUGGAUGGGAGACCACCAAUGAAUAUUUAUUUAUUUAUUU
RNAcentral lists this ribosomal RNA (113 nucleotides) under Pogona vitticeps (central bearded dragon). The record is from RNAcentral. Lineage: Eukaryota; Metazoa; Chordata; Lepidosauria; Squamata; Agamidae.